UACGGGGGGGGCAAGCGUUGUUCGGAAUUACUGGGCGUAAAGGGCUCGUAGGCGGCCAACUAAGUCGAACGUGAAAUCCCCGGGCUCAACCCGGGAACUGCGUCCGAUACUGGUAGGCUUGAAUUCGGGAGAGGGAUGCGGAAUUCCAGGUGUAGCGGUGAAAUGCGUAGAUAUCUGGAGGAACACCGGUGGCGAAGGCGGCAUCCUGGACCGACAUUGACGCUGAGGCGCGAAAGCCAGGGGAGCAAACGGG
RNAcentral lists this ribosomal RNA (253 nucleotides) under uncultured bacterium. RNAcentral's name for it is "partial 16S ribosomal RNA". It matches the Rfam family "Bacterial small subunit ribosomal RNA", at positions 524 to 776 of the family's 1533-position model. The record is from RNAcentral.